RNAcentral lists this ribosomal RNA (440 nucleotides) under uncultured bacterium. RNAcentral's name for it is "partial 16S ribosomal RNA". It matches the Rfam family "Bacterial small subunit ribosomal RNA", at positions 338 to 795 of the family's 1533-position model. The record is from RNAcentral.
CCUACGGGUGGCUGCAGUGUGGAAUAUUGCACAAUGGGGGACACCCUGAUGCAGCGACGCCGCGUGAGUGAAGAAGUAUUUCGGUUUGUAAAGCUCUGUCAGCAGGGAAGAAAAUGACGGUACCUGACCAAGAAUCCCCGGCUAACUACGUGCCAGCAGCCGCGGUAAUACGUAGGGGGCCAGCGUUAUCCGGAUUUACUGGGUGUAAAGGGAGCGUAGACGGCAGGGCAAGUCUGGAGUGAAAGGCGGGGGCUCAACCCCCGGACUGCGCUGGAAACUGCCAGGCUGGAGUGCAGGAGAGGUAAGUGGAAUUCCUAGUGUAGCGGUGAAAUGCGGAGAUAUUAGGAGGAACACCAGUGGCGAAGGCGGCUUACUGGACUGUAACUGACGUUGAGGCUCGAAAGCGUGGGGAGCAAACAGGAUUAGAUACCCCGGUAGUC